This 129-nucleotide small RNA is filed under the name Marmota monax (woodchuck). Lineage: Eukaryota; Metazoa; Chordata; Mammalia; Rodentia; Sciuridae. The record is from RNAcentral.
GCUGGGCGCAGUGGCGCACGCCUAUAAUCCCAGCAAGCAGCUCAGGAGGCUGAGACAGGUGGAUCAUGAGUUCAAAACCAGCUUCAGCAAAAGUGAGGCUCUAAGCAACUCAGUGAGACCUUGUCUCUA